Non-coding RNA from Taeniopygia guttata (zebra finch), 650 nucleotides. Lineage: Eukaryota; Metazoa; Chordata; Aves; Passeriformes; Estrildidae. The record is from RefSeq and is a predicted model, not a curated record.
CCAUCCUGUCGGUGCCACUCUCAGCACAGCUCAGGGGAUGUGGGGACAGCAGAGUCCCUCUCCAGAGCUUGGGAAGCACCUCCAGAGGUGGGGCAGGGCCUCUGUGGGAGCAGGAGGCAGCUCUGGAGCUCUGACACCCAAACCAGCCGGUGCUUUACGCUUGGAAGGACUGAAAAUUAUCCAGGUUCCAGGAGAGCCGUCUGCAGUGCCCAGGAAUGAUGCUGCUCUCAGUUUGCAAGGGACUUACUACACGAUGCUGCAAACCAGCCAAGUGUCCCUGCAAAAUGGAUGCUGGAUAAAGUCUCAUUAAAUUAGCUGAGUGAUGGAAUAAAUGCACAGCCCGUGGCUCUCCAGUCCAGAGCAAACCGAGCACGGGGCUGAUAUCUCCGAGUUCUGCUUAUUUACACAUGCCUCGGACUCUUCUCACAGAUAUGUAAAUUAUCCUGGUUAAAACUAAAUGCUAAAGUCUACACCAUUAGUCUUCCACUUCAUGAUCUCCACAUGGGGCUGUUAGAGGGAUAAUGUACCAUACAAUACACGGUUUACUUUUAAUUAAUAGGAAAAAAAAGUGAAAUGAAUAUUAAAUGUAGCUUAAUGUGAAAGAAACCUCAAAGCAGUAUGGUUGUUUUUUGUUGGGUUUUUGGUGGUUU